Molecule: long non-coding RNA, 694 nt
Filed under: Elaeis guineensis (African oil palm)
Lineage: Eukaryota; Viridiplantae; Streptophyta; Magnoliopsida; Arecales; Arecaceae
Description: long non-coding RNA (EGUI_LNC051148)
Source: RNAcentral
CUCCCUUGUUAAGGUAUAAGAUGCUUUCGGCUUUAGAAAUUUCUCAGGUGACACCUCAACCAGCUUUAAUAGAGGAUGCUUGCAUAUGUCCUUCAUAUCUACUCGAGCUUUGAGAUUGUCUUUCAUUUUGCCCUUGAUAUCCAUAACAGUAUAAAAAAUAUUAUUGAAUACAUUCUUCUCGAUAUGCAUGAUGUCAAGAUUAUGAUGGAUCAAAUUGAUGGACCAAUACGAUAAUUCCCAAAAGAUGCUUCGCUUCACCCAGUUAUGAGUUGUACCGAACCUCCGAGGCUUCUGCUUGUCAAAUUCAAUACCAAAUGAGACUUCAUCCAAUUGAUAUACCCUCUGAAAUAUUUUCAUACCACUGAGGCACUGGGGCGGAUGGUCCUUCUCUAUCUUAUUCCUCCUGAAACUGUCCCGCUGCUUUCAAAAAGAAUGAUGCUCGGGGAGAAAUUGACGAUGACAAUCGAACUAACAGAGCUUACGACCAUGCUCAAGCUGAAAUGAUUUUGUAUUCUCCAUGCAAUAGGGAUAUUCUAGCUUCCCAUGAGUGCUCCAUCCUGACAGCAUCUCAUAAGCAGAAAAAUCACUAAUGGUCCACAUCAACGCAGCCUUCAUUACAAAUUCUGCUUCUUCGAUGCAUCAAAAGUAUGAAUGCCAUCGGACCAUCACAAUUUUAACUAAUCAAUAAGAGGCC